GACGAACGCUGGCGGCGUGCCUAAUACAUGCAAGUAGAACGCUGAAGAGAGGAGCUUGCUCUUCUUGGAUGAGUUGCGAACGGGUGAGUAACGCGUAGGUAACCUGCCUUGUAGCGGGGGAUAACUAUUGGAAACGAUAGCUAAUACCGCAUAACAAUAGGUGACACAUGUCAUUUAUUUGAAAGGGGCAAUUGCUCCACUACAAGAUGGACCUGCGUUGUAUUAGCUAGUAGGUGAGGUAACGGCUCACCUAGGCGACGAUACAUAGCCGACCUGAGAGGGUGAUCGGCCACACUGGGACUGAGACACGGCCCAGACUCCUACGGGAGGCAGCAGUAGGGAAUCUUCGGCAAUGGGGGCAACCCUGACCGAGCAACGCCGCGUGAGUGAAGAAGGUUUUCGGAUCGUAAAGCUCUGUUGUAAGUCAAGAACGAGUGUGAGAGUGGAAAGUUCACACUGUGACGGUAGCUUACCAGAAAGGGACGGCUAACUACG
This 495-nucleotide ribosomal RNA is filed under the name uncultured bacterium. RNAcentral's name for it is "partial 16S ribosomal RNA". It matches the Rfam family "Bacterial small subunit ribosomal RNA", at positions 28 to 505 of the family's 1533-position model. The record is from RNAcentral.